Molecule: small nuclear RNA, 107 nt
Organism: Nyctereutes procyonoides (raccoon dog)
Lineage: Eukaryota; Metazoa; Chordata; Mammalia; Carnivora; Canidae
Source: RefSeq, a predicted model, not a curated record
GUGCUUGCUUCAGCAGCACAUAUUCUAAAAUUGGAACAAUACAGAGAAGAUUAUCAUGGCCCCUGUGCAAGGAUGACAUGCAAUUUCAUAAAGCAUUCCAUGUUUUU